This 1338-nucleotide ribosomal RNA is filed under the name metagenome. RNAcentral describes it as "SSU rRNA". It matches the Rfam family "Eukaryotic small subunit ribosomal RNA", at positions 487 to 1772 of the family's 1831-position model. The record is from RNAcentral.
ACUAGGAUUUAUCCUGGGGUCACAAUGGGCUUGAUUUGCAAACUUUAUUUAGCGAGGAACAAUUGGAGGGCAAGUCUGGUGCCAGCAGCCGCGGUAAUUCCAGCUCCAAUAGUGUAUAUUAAUGUUCCUGCAGUUAUUCGAUGCUCGUAGUUGGAUUUCUGGGGGCUGAGAUUGGAAGGUGGCCAAGGUCACCGCCGAACUCUUCCUUCAUCCACCUGUUAACGUUGUCCGGGAUUUGUUUCUCGGCUUCAGGCUCAGGUAUUUUACCCUUUCUAUAUAUUCAUUUAUUUAUCUUCUUUUUGAGUAAAUUAUAGUGUUUCAGGCAGGCGUGCGCCGGAAUACUUUAGCAUGGAAUAAUCGAAUUGGACCGUGUAUUCUUAUAGAAUUCUUCCUUAUUUGUUGGUUUCAAGGACACGGAAAUGGUUAAUAGGGAUAGUGUUUUCAGGGGAGGCAUUAGUAUUUAAUUUCCAGAGGUGAAAUUCUUUGAAAUAUUAAAGACUAACUUAUGCGAAAGCAUUUAUUUUGCCAAUAAUGUUUUCAUUAAUCAUUGAACGAAAGUUAGGGGAUCAAAGACGAUCAGAUACCGUCCUAGUCUUAACCAUAAACGUUGCCGACUAGGGAUCGGAGGGCGUGCACAUUCCGCCUUCGGCACCUUACGAGAAAUCAAAGUCUUUUGGGUUCUGGGGGUAGUAUGGUCGCAAGGCUGAAACUUAAAGGAAUUGACGGAAGGGCACCACCAGGAGUGGAGCUUGCGGCUCAAUUUGACUCAACACGGGAAAUCUUACCAGGUCCAGACAUAGCGAGGAUUGACAGAUUGAUAGCUCUUUCUUGAUUCUAUGGGUAUUUAUUUUAAUUUUGGUGGUGCAUGGCCGUUCUUAGUUGGUGGAGUGAUUUGUCUGGUUAAUUCCGUUAAACGAACGAGACCUCAGCCUGCUAAAUAGUUACCUGUCUUUCUUUUACGAGACUUGAUAACUUCUUAGAGGGACGUUGUGUGCAACCACAAGGAAGUUGAGGCAAUAACAGGUCUGUGAUGCCCUUAGAUGUCCUGGGCCGCACGCGUGCUACACUGAUACGUACAACAAGGUAUAUGCAUUUAUGCAUCGAUGCUGCUCCGAAAUAGACAUAGCUAAAUCUUCUAAAAUACGUAUCGUGCUGCGGAUAGAUCGUUGAAAUUAUGGAUCUUGAAGGUGGAAUUCCUAGUAAGCGCGGGUCAUCAACCCGCGUUGAUUACGUCCCUGCCCUUUGUACACACCGCCCGUCGCUCCUACCAAUUUCGAGUGGCUCGGUGAACCUCUUUGGACUGUCGAGCAAUCGCGAAAUUAGAGUGAACCUGGUCAC